ACUCGCAAAUCGCGCGGCAAGUUCCUCCGCGCAAGUAAAUUGCUGCAAUAACUUGCUAGUGUAAACCGAGCAUUAGUAAAAGUGCUGUUUAUUAUUAUUCGUCAUUUGAGUCUGCUGCUUCGUCAAUGUUUAUGAUUGCUCCAGUAUUAAUUAUCCGAGGGUUCAUCUGUGUUCAAUUUGUCUUUUAAGAAUGCAACUACAGUACGAGCUACGACUGGAAUCUUCUGAAAACUAAUAGCGAUCCGCAGUCAUAACAUUGACUGUAAAAUUAAAACAACCAAAUUCAUACCGUAGAAGUCGAUUGGUUCACUCAAGCAAUUUUGCGCAGCAGGAAGCCAUACAUCAGCGGCAUAGCGACGUUGGUACAGUAUGAUCCGUUGUCGUUAAAUGAUUCUGCUCCUCCAGCAAACCCUCAGAUACUUUGUCUGUCGUGGUUUCCUUCUGUCUAUUGGAGGCUUCAUUGGUAUUGACAAGAUAACAGCCAGUAGGAGUAUUAAAAGGAUGUUAUGACAAUGAACAGCUUGCACAAAAGGCAGUUUUGUUAAUUAUUUCAGUUCUGUAUUGUAAUUAAAUGAAUAUAAAAUAAACAAAUUUAUAUG
Molecule: long non-coding RNA, 599 nt
Organism: Schistocerca piceifrons (Central American locust)
Lineage: Eukaryota; Metazoa; Arthropoda; Insecta; Orthoptera; Acrididae
Exons: 2
Source: RefSeq, a predicted model, not a curated record